CUAGACGAGUAGGCGCACGGGUUGAGUAACACGUACACAUCUAGCUUAUACUAGGGGCAUACCCUCGGGAAACUGAGAAUAAUUCCCCAUAACAUAUUGAAAAGGCAUCUUUUUAAUAUUAAAACUCCGGUGGUAUAAGAUGAGUGUGCGUCUGAUUAGCUAGUUGGUAAGGUAACGGUUACCAAGGCUACGAUCAGUAACUGGUCUGAGAGGAUGAUCAGUCACACGGACACUGAGUACACGGGUCCGACUCCUACGGGAGGCAGCAGUAGGGAAUAUUGGACAAUGGGCGCAAGCCUGAUCCAGCCAUCCCGCGUGAAGGAUUAAGGCCCUCUGGGUUGUAAACUUCUUUUCUCUGGGAAUAAAAACUCCGAUGCUUCGGAGCUUGAAGGUACCAGAGGAAUAAGCACCGGGUUAACUCCGUGCCAGCAGCCGCGGUAAUACGGAGGGUGCACAGCGUUAUCCGGGAUUCCACUGGGGGUUCCAAANAGGGGGAGCGUAACGGUGGGCUCUCAGAAAGUCCGGUCGGUCGGAACAUNCUCCNACAGGGUUUUAACUGGUUGGAAACUUGGCCAUUGGAAUCACUGGCAGGGCUUCCUG
RNAcentral lists this ribosomal RNA (600 nucleotides) under uncultured bacterium. Its description in RNAcentral is "bacterial SSU rRNA". The stretch from base 1 to 465 matches the Rfam family "Bacterial small subunit ribosomal RNA", at positions 86 to 546 of the family's 1533-position model. The record is from RNAcentral.